Acinonyx jubatus (cheetah) is the source of this 12939-nucleotide long non-coding RNA. RefSeq lists it as uncharacterized. Lineage: Eukaryota; Metazoa; Chordata; Mammalia; Carnivora; Felidae. The record is from RefSeq and is a predicted model, not a curated record. The transcript is spliced from 9 exons.
CUUUUUCUCAAGGUUUUAAGUGUGUGCAUGCUGUGAACACUCAGACAAUGCUGGAGAGAAACAGACACUGUGCUACCCACUUGCCUAUGUGCCUGGUGAAUCUACUGUCAACUGUUGAUAGCAGUAACUGGCCCCUAACAUCACCACAUCCAAAGGCCAUGAAAGAGUGAAAUCUGUCUAGUAGACCAUUGAACUCCCAGGCCUCUAUUCUGAAGUCUCAUGGGAGCCAUUCUGUUUAAGUUCACUGCACCUGAUCCCAAGGAGCUCAAUGGAUCUCACAGUUCCCAGUUCUGCUGAAUAUUGUCACUGGUUACCUGUGGGGAGCCGCAUGGUGUGAUAUGAGGGGGGAAUCAAGACUACAGUGAAAGAACUUGAGUGAGGCAUAUGGCCGCAUAGCUAUAAAGACAAUUUCCAGCCUCCCCUGCAUCAAAUGUGCCUGUGUCCUCGCCAAUGGAUUACAAGUCGAGAACAGCACUGGAAGCUGGUGAUGAAGAGGAGCCCUUCUCCCUUUUGAUGUGAAACAGAUACAAUGUCAAAAAAAAAAAAAAGACAUCACACAAACAAACAAACAAAAAAAAACCCCAAAACCAAGAUUACUCCUUAUAGAAACUGAUCUGUCCACUGCAUUUCUUUCCCUGCCAUUAAUAGGUCACCAAUAUUAUUUGAGGCUAUAUUUCAGUGGUUAUUGUAGUUAUUGUUUUCUGCCUUAUCUCCCUGAAUUUAGUAAAAUCUUUGCUCUACAUGGUACUGAUAUGAUAAAUCACAUUAUACUCAAGCUCUCUGGAAAUGAAACGGCUUGCCUUUAAGAAAUCAAAUUCUACAGCAAAGCCCUUCCCCCAUCUACCACUAACCUUUUGGCUUUCCUCAGUCUUUGACUAGUAGGAAAUAAUAUUUCUCUGGUGCUGACACUGCAGAGGAUACAGAAAUUCAAACUGCAUGAAGGUUGAUAAAAAUGAAUUUUAUCAGGAAAGUGAGAAAGUGUUCAUAUAAAUGAACUUUAGAUAGGUAUAGAGAGAUAAUCUGGGUAUUUAGCUGAGAGAUGAAUACUUAGAUUACUAUAUUAGAGCAGAAGAAAAUUCAUUUUUUCUUCUUGGAUUUUGUAUUAUAUGUAGAAUUUCAAAACUCUUGACCUCCAAAGAACUUCCAAAUGCAUCUUAAUACCUCAUGAUUUUAUUUGGCUUAUUUUCUACUUCCAAGCACAUUUGUACUCUUUAGGAAGAUAAAAAACUGAGUUACAAGGCAUGUACAAGGUCAUAUUUUGAGCCACUAGUGGAACUUGGACUGAAUUUUUGAACACUUUCUCAAACCAGUUGAACUCAAUCUUCACUGCAUUGUACAUGCCAAAAAAUUUUCAAUACUGUAUAGGAAAAAUUAUUUUUCUUAUCUUGUUUUUCGUUGGUGUGUUUCCCCCCACCCCUACACAGUCUAACCUUUGGCAUCCCAUUUCUUGCCCUUAGGUUGUAUGUGUGCACUACACAGCUUAUCACAUUUAAGGUACAUGCACAUGGUGAGUUCAAAUCACUGAAGCUUACUGAGCGUGUCAGUGUGAAGUGCUGCAAAAGAGGAAAGACACCAAGAGAUUAUUCCUGAUGCUGGUGAGCCCAGAUGUGUCCUCUAGAUGUCCUACAGAUGUUACCUAAUAACUUUAAGAGGCUAUUUGUGGUGAUAACUGUGAUAAAUUAAAUGUGAUCAAUUAAUAUUUUGAUUAAUUCAAUUCUAUUUAAAUGAAAUGAAAACUCAUUUUAUAGCCAAUCAUCCUGGUACAGGUCGGAUGGUAUUAAGGCAUUAAUUCUCUUUUUUUGAGCAGUUAGCAACACACCUUCCAUUUCCGUGCUAUCAUACUUUUCCAGCAUUUGGCUACUCUUAACAAAAAACAUAAAAGACUUCUCUAUUCUUUUCCCAAAUUAAACCUUCCUUCUUCAUACGUCAAAGAAAAGAGAGUUCAAAUUCUUUUCCAGCUCUUUUUUAUUAAUGCUUGAGCAAAGAUAAAUGUUUUCACAAGCACCAGUUAAACCAGAAAGAGAAGAAUUUCCCAGUGAUUCAGUGGGUCCAUCAAUCAAUGCUGUAAACUUUUUCAAAGUUAUGGUAUGUUAAAAUAAUUACAAUUAUAAUUAUUAUUAAAGAAGGCUCUCUGAGACCAAAUUUUUGCUUUAUUCAUUAUCUAUCCUUGUCUCUCCCACAACCAUUCACCACUAUUUAGAAGACCUACUUCUAUGCUCCUCUGCUCUAUUUGUAACUAAUAAUAAUUAAUUAUAAAAUAUUUUGUUACUGAUGAGCUAAAUCAAACUCAUCACUUCCUCUUUCCUGAAUCUAGCCUGCUUGUAUUUAAAUUACUCUCUUGCUGCCUUUCAAAUCACUUGAGGCUGGAAAACUUUCCAAUGUUCUAUAUUCAUUUAUAAUAUAUAUGUGUACAAAUGACUAAUACAUGUAAUACAUAUGUAUGAUACAUAUGUAAUACAGAUAUAACACAUGCAAUAUAUAUAGGUAUGCUUCUAUCUCUCCCCUCCCCCUCCUUACUCUUUGUUCUGGUAUUAUACUAAUUUUAUGAAAUUCUUUAUCUUCCUUGUUUGUUGAGGUACCUUAAUUUGGGGAGGGGGGCUUUGUUAUGCUGACACUGUGCAAAGCUAUAGUUAAAAAUAUGUAAACAUCCUGCAUGAUUGAAAUACACAAGGUUCAACUCCUUUUUUUUCCUCCUCUUACAAAGAUAACUAUUGAUAAGGCCCUGUAAAUCCUUCAUUUAAUUCCUUUCCCCGUUGGAACUUCCAUACCCUUACUUCCAUCCCUAUUGGGACUUCCUUUUUUUUUUUUUUUUCCUGUUGGGACUUCCAAAUUAUUUUGCUCACCUCUGAUUUCUCCCCUACUCUAGUCCAUCAUCCAAGUCCUUAAAAGUGAUUUCUAAAUAUAGAUUUGAUCAUGUUACUACCCUACUCAAACCCAGUCUUACAGUGUUAUUCAAAGUCCAUCAUGAUUUGAUGGCAGCCUACCUUAUCAGCCUCAUCCUUGCCACUUUCAUCUGUUAGGUUUGCAUUGUGCAAACUUCUCCAUUUGUAGGGCACUUUUCUUCAAAAAGAAAAUCUGGGAGCCUAUUGAACUAAUGAGGAACCAAUAGGAACAAAACCCAAUAAGUUUUUAUUCUAAAACUAAUAAAUUGAUGCUCUGGUUUCUCUUCAAAUUGCAUAAAUCUUUUGCCUUUUACUAAAACUAAUAAAUUGACUCUUUCCUCUUCUUAUCAGUGCCUAUUUAAAAAAUAAAAUAACUAUGAGAAGUAUGCUGAAUUUUAGGAUAUCUCCAGUACUAUAAACUUGACUUGGACAGGAUUUUCUAGAUCAACUAUUUAAAAUACCAUAGAUAUACAUAAAAAUAAUUAUUUCCAUCUUGAAAAUUGUGUUCAACAAUGUGUUGGUUUUUAAUUCUAUUUUAAAAUUAUAAUAAAAUUGCCUAUGUUAGAUGCUAUUAUUCUAGGAACCAUACAUGUGUGCAUGCACAUGCACAAACACACACACACAUACACACACACACAUUUAUCAAUGCUUUGUUUCCCCAAUUACUUCCAAAGUUAUUCAACUGUGACUACAUUAGAUUAGACAAUUAACUUGCAAAUACCUCAUUUGGCACAAAUGCUUUAAGAAUAUUAUUAUUCAGAGCUAUUUUUGUUUCUCUAUUUCUCUAGAGUUUGGAAUUACCCAUAGCUUUAAAAUUACUAGGUUUUUGGAUACAUUUUGAAUUUAAAAGCCACCUGUAAUAUUGCGUUAGUCCCCUUUGUUUCCCAGUGUCACGUAGAAAAAGGUGCUCAAAUGACACUUCUGGAAGGCAAGUGAAUUCACUGUAAUGCAGACAUAUACCAACAAAUCAGCUUUCCAUUAAAUGACUGUUUACUGUAUUAAGGCAAUAAGAAUGGUAGAAAGAACAAUGUUGCCAACCAGGUACCAAAUCCAUGUUGUCUAGAGAAAAGUAGACUCAUACAUAUGCAAAGAACAGAUAGCACAUGCCAUGUAAAUGACAAAAUUACUUACACAUGAACACUACGAUAAUAAUGGUAAUAAAAAUGAUGAUUAAUAUUUAUUGAGCAUUUACUAUAUGCUAGGAUCUGUGCUAAACUCUUCCAGACAUUUCAUCAUUGAAUCUUCACAAAAAUUCUAUAAGGCAUGAACUACUACUAUACAUUUUACAGAAUGAGAAGGAUUUAAAGAGUUUUAUAUACACUUAGUUUUACCCAAAUGGUAAGGGGUAGAAGUAGAACAGGUUUUUCUGAGUUUAUAACUUUCUAAUACUCUAAAAUGGACAGUUUACCCUAUUAGGGGCAUCACUAAGAUGGUAGAAUUAAAUGAUGAAUAAAAUCCAAUAUAUUCCCUACAAAAUAGAAUUUAAAAAUAUUUUCUAUGUUACAGCACAAUGAAGACAAAAUUCUGUAAUUGAGCUCAUAGGAAGACAUAGAUUUCCCCAGGAAUUAGAGUUCACCUCUGGAUAGAAUUAGCAGCAGCCAAGCAUAUUUCUACAAUGUUUUGAAGCUUUGAUAUAUUGAGCUAUCUACAGCAUAAACAUUGGUAAAUUUAGUGUGGCAUAUGCUGGAUAUUUCAAGUUUUAAAAUUCCAGCCUAGAUGAUUUAACAGGAUUAAAAAAAACACUGUUCUCUAAUAUUGCAGAAGUUACCAUGGUAUAUUUCAAGUCACAGUUUCAAAACAGCAUCAGCAUACAUGAUCAUAUUACUAAUUGAGUCCAUAGCAAAUAUGGAAACAGGUGCACACAUAAAGAUCUACUUUGAUAAUUGAAAUUUAUUUUGAAUAAGCAGUAAACAAUAUAUCUUAAGUUGUCAUUACUAAGACAUUCAAGUGAAAGGAGAUUCAUGAAUGAUUAUGCAAAUUUCAAAGCCACAUUCAAAUGUGGCUUUUAACAGCAAUGUGCAAAACAUAAAAAGAUUCUGUUUCUUGUUUUCUUAGCUGACUUAAUCUACUUGUAUUUCAGAAAUCUAAUAUUUAAAGAGGAAGAAAUUGUCAAUUUAGUUGUUCUUGGCACAGAUAUAGCUAUGGAAAAUUCCUAUAAAUAUUUUUAGUCAAUUAGGAUUGGCCAGGAAGUUUGAAAAUUCAUUAUACAAACAGAACAAUUCGUAGGGGAAAAAAAACAAAGAAAAUGGAUUUUCAAACAAUGAAACAGUAUGUAAAUUAAAGUGAUAAAACAAAGGAAGAUGAGAUUCAUUCAUUCAUUAACCAUUCACUCAAUAGGUUUUUAUUAAGAAUUUACUGUGCAAUUUGUGGCACCUGGGUGGCUCAGCUGGUUACGGACUUUUACCCAGGUCAUGAUCUCAUGGUUCAUGAGUUUCAGCCUCGCUUCUCAGCACAGAGCCUGCUUCAGAUCCUCUGUCCACUACCCCCUCUGGCCCUCCCCUGCUCUCUCUCCCCCCUUCUUUUUCUCUCCCCCCUCCUUUUUCUCUCUCUCAAAAAUAGACAUUUUAUAAAAGAAAAUGUUACUGUGCAAGAUAUAUCAAUAGACAAUGACCUCUGCCCUCAUGGCACUUUCUAAUGAGAAGUACAGAAAUGAUAAGACUAAGAGUCCAAUUCAUUUUUAACUAUAGCUAUGAUAAAUGCUCAAAGGAGACAUUAGCAUGAACUCCAAGUGUAAUAAAAGAGCUUGAAUUAGCGAAGGACAGAAGAAAAGGGAGAUGUGGCAGGCACACCAAGAUAAAUUCAUUAAUGAAGCAGCAUUUGGGGCUGAGAUCUGAACUAACUAGGUCAACCAACUAGCAAAGGAAAUAAAAAAAAAUCAGAUAAUUUUGUGUUGUGAUUGUUCAGCAUUUAUGUGAAUUUCUCUAUCAAAACUUUUCAUAGUAUAGUAAGGUAGUUGUUGCAGAACUGAGUGUGAUUUAUGUUAGAGUAAUGUUCAAGAAAUAUGCUUUAUUUGGAAGCAAAAGUACAUGAUGGUUAAGUUUACUCUAGAAUCACACACUUGCUCCACACUUCCUUCUACUCUUUGUGAAAUUGGGCAAGUUUCUUCAGCUUUCCAAGUAAUAAAUAGCUAAAAAAUUAGGAUAAUAACAUUGCCUUUAUUAUAGUCUUGAUAUGAGGUUUCCCUGAGAUGAUAAACAUCCACCAUAUCCCUGGUACAAAGUAAUUAUUCAAUAUAUCUUGGCUAUUAUUAUAAGCAGAAAAAAGAUUGAAAAUAAAUGUCAAAGAGGACUUAUAAGAUUAUAGGCGUUAUUCCACAAGUAACAGGAAGCCAUUGAAGUUUUCUGAAAAAUUACUUAAGCAUACACAUUAAAUUGUUAGUGACAAUCUAUAGCUUAUAUAGUGUUUCCAAACUCAUUAUUUAAUUUAAUCCUCAUUAAUCUUGAAGUGAUGAUAUUUUGAUUGACAUUUUACAGUUUAACAAACUAGAACUCAAAGCACUUAAAUGACUUGCCCGAAAGCUCAUAAGGACUUAAGAGCUAUGAUUCACAACUUCAAGCCAAGAAUAGUGUAAGUUUUACCAUGACACAGCUGGCAGAUGAUUUUAAAAGACACUGUAAACAGGUUACACAGAAAAACCAAGGGACACCAUUAUUUUGGUUAUUCUGAACUGGACGUGGAAAACUUUCAUUUUUUUGAAAUGUUGUUGGGAAGAACAUAGAUAUCUGAUAAAUGUUUAAGAAGCUGGAGACUUUGAUGUUGGCCCCAUCUUUGCCACUUCACUUUGCAACAAGUCACAAAUCAUUUAACCUCUGUUGUUGUAGGGUCCCUCAUUUAAGAAAAGAAAAAAAAUCAUCCCAUUUCUUGGGAUUUCCUAAUGGCUCAAAUGAGACACACUCCUCCCCCCAAAUUCCCCAACAAACAAAACAGAAAAAUCAAAAGAAAAACAUACAUGUAUUGCCACUUUAAUAACAAAGGUCUCUAUUCUUACCUUGAACUUAAAGUCUCAGAGGAAAAGUAAAGUCAGAGUCACUGAAAUGCAAAGAGAUAGUGGCCACUCUGAUUGUUUUCCAUUUCCUUACACUGCCCACCAGAAAUUUUUGGGUGCUCUGUCCCUUCCAGUUUGAACUGUGAACAUGCAGACUUGUCGUAGUUUGCUAUAUAUGUCAUAUGUACUGAGGGACAUUUUUCCAAGUCUACCUCUCUAUCCAGAUGUUAACGAAUUGUUACCUUUAUGGCUUUGCUUUCUGUGUCCCAUCGUGCUUCAAGACAUAUAAUUUUUUAAUUUUUAUUUAUUUUUGAGACAGAGAGAGAGACAGAGCAUGAGUGGGGGAGAGGCAGAGAGAGGGAGACACAGAAUCCGAAGCAGGCUCUGGGCUCUGAGCUGUCAGCACAGAGCCUGACGUGGGACUCAAACUCACGAACCGUGAGAUCAUGACCUGAGCUGAAGUCAGAUGCUUAACAGACUGAGCCACCCAGGUGCCCCGUGACAUAUAAUCUUCUUUUAUAAAGAAGGAAGAGUAAAAGUCAAAGAUCCUGAUGUAUUCUUCUCAUCUUCUUUUAUUGUUCUCAAGGUCUCUGAGGCAGUUUUUUAGGGAGGCAAAGGGGUUGGAACUUCCUACUCAUUCUCUUCUUUUUCUAUUCUGACCUUAUAGUCUCUUCAUCUUCUAAUUAUCCCCAACUGAAUUUUAUACCUUAUUACAUCUUAUAGAAAAUUUGAAGAUUUCUGAAAAUGUCCUUAGAUAUAAUGCCAUGCAUACUAGAAAUUUCCUUAGUGAAACUCAUGUUUUUGGAGAGUUUAAUAUGGUAACAUAUUGUAAAACUUUAUAAAACUACCACUUAAAAAAUUGGACUCUCACCUACAGAACUUUUGUAAAAGCUAGUAUCUGAAAUAAUCUAAUUGCUUGAAAGAAUAACUUGCAUUAAGAAUUCCCCCUUUCCUAGAGUAGAUACUCUGAUAUAGUCCUACACAUGGUUGUAAGAAACUAAUGUAAAGAUUUUUCAUGUAACAAGAGGUUUGCAGAGUGGUGAGGUGACAGACUGAAAUAUGUUAUAGCUUGGUUUUGUUGGAAGGUCAGAGACAACAUUGUGUUUUAUAUACUUCAGAGAAAAUUUGGUCCAUAAGAUAAUAUCUGUAUUAUAGAAAAGCAGUCAGCAUAUAAAAGAAUUUUACUAUUCUACAAAGGUAGCUUUGAUUUAUAACAAUUAAUAUUCUUUGCCACAACAGCUUAGAAACUUAGACUACUAGAAUAAGCAUUUGAACUACCCAGUCCAAUAUCCUUAUUUUACACAGGAGAAUGCUGAACCCAGAAGAGAGGUGAAAUGGUUAAUUAAGGUCAUACUGCUAGUUAGAGGCUCCAACUACAACCCCAACAUACUGAUCCUGGUGAGGUACACUAUGUUACACUUCAUUUUUUUUUUCUGUGUGCUCCAUGUUUUGUUCACCUCAAAAGAGAAAGACUCUGCCUGAGAUUGACUUGUCAGGUAUAGGCAAGAACAAAGCAAGAAUCCAGCCUACUUCUCAACACAUGAGUCAAUUUCAAGAAAAUUGAUAUAUGCUGACAAACAAUACUAUUAAGGAAGAGGUGUUUUCUGGACCAAAGAAAUGACCUUUACACAGUUGGAAGUAGAAGCAGUGUUGAAUGCCCUGUAUGAUGGAGGAGCAAAUGAAUUAUAUAUAAAGAUAGUUCAAAUUGAUUACGGCAGCAAGAGACUAGUCAAGGACAUUCAUAGGCAACUUUACUAAAACAUUUCUCCAUCCGUCCUCAAGAACAUAUUCCAAAUCCUUGGCGUGGAAGAAAACAGCAUCUGGACUGAGAACUCCUAAACCAUCAUACUUUGUCAGAGAACAAUUCCACUGCUACUAAAAGCCCCCAAAAUUUAAAAACUUAAAAACUAGGUAAAUAUGCUAAAUAGAGUUCAUGUGACAUUACUAUGAAAUACAGGCAGUGCAGAUGAUGAAUGCAGGGUGAGAUUACAGUUUGCAAAUCUGAAUAAUGAAUGAUUCUUCACAUUAACCUAAGCAAAGAAGAGAGAAAGCCAAUGACCAACUGAGGAAGGCUUCCAAGAAGAAUGUAGGAGAGAAAUAUGCUGGGUGUAAUUGCCAAGUUUUACCUCAGAAGCUGAAGGGCACUGGGCAGUGACUGUGAAUAAAGAGUGAGAUGCUAUUUUAGAAUUUGCUCCUGGGAGAGAAUACUAGCUGUAAUGUGGAGGGCUGUAUUCACAAAUAUAAAAAACAUGGAAUGUGUUAAGUUAUACUGAUGUGAAACCCUAAGAAUAAACUCCAAAGAUGACCUGGAAUGAUUGCCCUGAAUGCUUAUAUUUUCUUUCACUGUAUACAGACAUCUCAUCCCUAAAGCAAAUGAAAAGUAAUCACCAUAAAGCUUAUGAAGUAAUGUGGUGUGAUCAAAAGUCACUCUGGUGCCUCACUGUACUCACAUAAAUGUUCUCACUGAAGUGAAAUUUCUUACAAGCUGUUUUGUUUUGUUUUGUUUUGUUUUUGAGAAGAGGGAGGGACAGAGGGAGAGAGAGAAUUUUAAGCAGGUUCCAUACCCAGCACAGAGCCUGACAUGGGGCUUGAUCUAACAACUGUGAGAUCAUGACCUGAGCCAAAAUCAAGAGUCAGAUGCUUAACCGAUUGAAGGUUAAGCCAAGGUUCUCCAAAGCAAAGUUUUUCAUCCCCCUCAUCAGAUGGUCAUCCAUGAUCUCUGAGGCCCAUUUUAUGUUUAUAUUAUCACAAGUAAAAUGACUCAAUAAAUAAUGGAGGGAGAAGAAACAGGUGAAGAGUAAAGACCACGUGUGAUGAUAGAUGAGCAAAUAAAUCACCAAGGCAACUGAGAAAAGACACAUGUGUAAGUCCUAAAAGAAGCCAAGAAUGCAAGGGCUUUACUUUUCCCCAAAGAAGUGCACAGUUUCUAUCUAUCACCAAAUCUUCAGUGGAGUUUUCACUGUUUGGGAAAUGGCAGUAACUAUACUCUGGUAAAACCACCUUUCUGAUCAUGGUGUCUCCAUGAGCAAACAAGACAGGAGAACCUGCAUUUAAAAACACAUUUAAGAAGCUAGCAAUCCAGAAACCAUCAUGUAGAUAUAAGGAAACAAGUUAUAUGAGAUUGAGAUGAAUGUAUUAGUUGAUUUGGUGAAACACAAGGUCUUUUCCAUAAAAGAUAAACAGGCUAUGGGAUUAUUUAAGGCACCCCAUGGCCAUGGGGGGGAGGCUAACAUUAUUUAGGUUAGGCUACUCACUCUAUGAAAAUUUAUUCAUAAGUCUGACUGUAACCUUAGGAAAUGGUUUUGCAUGACUGGAAUAUGCUUAUGAGACUCACCAAUGACUAUUUUAUUUGGCCAAGAUAUGUGGACACAAAGAUGAAUAAUAACUGCCCUCUCUAUAAGAUGCUCAGAAUAUUUAUGCCCUUGUUUUUUCAUAAUCAUUCAUUAAUAAUCCCCUUACCCUUUGUCACAUAAUGAAAUGAAUCUCCUACUUCCUUCAAUUAAACAUAUGCAAGUAUUCAGAAUAUUUCUGAGAAUUUUGACAGAUGUUUAUUAUUAUUUUUUUGUAGAAGCACAAGAUUAAUGUUGGAGCAGCUAACCAGAGGCUUCAGGCAGACUUGGUUUUAUAGAGAAUAUACAAGUAAAUUUUUCAGUGUUACAUUUGCAAAUGAUCACGUAUCCCUUGUAGGAGGGGGAAUCCAGAUGACAAAGUUUGUCUUAAGGCCAACAAGCCAGGUUAAAUUGAGAGAAAGACACAGAGUCCAUUCUCUUAAGACAUGGGUUUAGAGAGGAGGCUAAAAAAAGUAGAGAAACCAAAGAAAACUACUUUACUAUGAGCUCUACAGAAUAACGGUUUCAGUUUCAUGAAGAAAGGUCUAUGAAUUGCAUCUUUUCCCUCUUUCCAGAAUUCAAACCCAAAUGAAGAUGAUGCAAGGGGGAGACAGAGACUUAAAAACAAACAAUUAAUACAAAAAAACCUUUAUUAUGGACUAGACCUGGAAUGGAAGACCAGAUAUCUAGGUGUAGCCAAAGGGCCUUACUGAGGCUUUUUUCAUUAAUUAGGCAGACUGACCCAACCAACUUCUGGAUCCAUGGGACCACAGCAUGAUACCUUUUCAGGGUUAGUCCACUUGCUGCAUCUCAGAGACCAGAAAGCAGCCUCAGAGAUAAUUUGUCAGGGACUGUGCCACACAAUCCCACUUCCUUCUGCCAAACUCACUUAUCAGAUAAUUUACUUCUCUUCUCCAAAGGAGAGAAAAUGCAUUGAGAGCAGGGAGGGUGGAGCCGGGUGUGCUAUGCUUUCCUUCCCAAGAAAAAGUGAUGUUUGGAACACAUGGUUUUCCCAACAAUACAGAGAAUAUAAGGAAUCAGCAGCUGAGUAGCUAGAAAUGAGGGAGAUGAUGGAGAUAAUGCUCUUAGCAGACUUUAUCCUCCCUGCAUUUGGUAUAAAUAACCAUGGUACAUUUUUUUUUUUUAUCCCCAGACAUGGCCUGGAAGUAUUCACCUAAGGCCCACAGCAUCCUGGAGUACAUGCUUGAUAUUAAUAAAAUGUAAAGGUGGGACACCUGGGUGGCUCAGUAGUUGAGCUUCUGAUUCUUGGUUUCAGCUCAGGUCGUGGUCUUGAGGUUUGUGAGUUAAAGCCCUGCAUUGGGCUCUGUGCUGGCAGUGUGGAACCUACUUGGGAUUCUCUCUCUCUCCUCUCCUUCUGCCCCUCCCCCACUCAUAUGCACUCUCUCUCUCUUUCUCUUUCUCUCAAAAAUAAAUAAAAACUUUAAAAAUAAAUAAAAUGUAAAGUUAUGUUUCAAAUAUUUUUAUUCCUGUAUGUAGAUAAUUAUAUGCAAUUGGACAAACAAUUGAUUAUAAUAAUCAAUUUUAUGGUAUAUAGAUUACUAGGUUAAUUAGAAUAUCAAUUAUCCUGAAUGUAUCCCCACCCCAUGUCCGCCAUUUGAAUCAAUGAGAGGUAUUUGACUAAAUGAAUAUUUCUUUGUAAAGAUCCACUGUGUUCAAGGCAUGUCUUGAUAACAGACAUAAAGAAAUGAAUUAGACACAUUCCUUGCCCUGAAAAGUUCUUAUCACAUAGAAGUUACAGUCAUGUAGCUAAUUAGGUGCAACACACCAAUAAUGCAUUGUUAGAGGCAGUGCAAAAGGAACUAAAAAGCAUAUGCAGAUCUGCCUAGUCCUCAGUGAAGGCUGGGAUUUGAACAAGGCUUCUGAAAAAUAAGAGCUAAAUCACCAGGUACUGAAAUUACAGAGGGCAUUCUAGUUAGCCAAAGGAGCAGUUCUGACAAUAAUAGAACCUUUUGUGGAAUUACAGAUAAUGCCAUUAUUGAAGAGUAGAAUUCAAUUGUAGGGUUGAUAAGUUAAAGGUCAAGAUGUAGGUUGAGGCAAGCUCUUAAAAGUUAUUUUGUGCUGUAUUUGUGUUGUUAUUGUGUUUUUAUUGCUUUGGUUUGUUUUUAUUCUCUUCUUUUGAAACAGAUAUAGCCAUUUUUGCUAAAGAAUAAAUGGGGAUUAGAUGUCAUCUUAGAACCACUGACAUUUGCCAAGCUUCAAAGGAAAGACUCACCAUUCCUGAGCUAUUUUGGUGCAGGAGCACUUGACUACAAUAACUGAUUAUCUCUGCCACGUCAUCUCCCUGAGACCAAGAAGAUCAAAUGAGUUUAAAUCAAAUGUCUCCAGCUAGGUUGGCUGGCAACUAUCCAUGAAGCAAAUUACUGGAGAAAGUCUCAUCUAAGAACUCAGAAGAAACAAAAUUAUUUUUCCUCCUCUACAUUAGUUUGUAUUAAGCCUCUGUCGUUCAUUCACCACAUAACGUGUAAUGACAUUGGACUGAUCCCAUGGUGCUUUCCUCCAUCACUUGAUGUGUGUAUAAGAACCCCAGGCUUCAAGCAGGAGAGAAAAGAAUAUCCUUAGAAGAAGAGCACUGAUGACUGAAAUAGAUAUUCAGAUUGGUGACUCCAAGAACUUUUACUACUAUUUACCAUCAAUGAACUCUUCAAAUCCUCAUGGAACAAAUGACGUUUCAGAAAAUUGGAAAGGCUUCAAUAACUACUUCUUUCAGAACACUGACCUUCCA